GCGGGGGUAGCCAAGCCUGGCCAACGGCGCAAGAUUCAGAGUCUUGUUCCGCAGGGAUUCGCAGGUUCAAAUCCUGCCUCCCGCA
This 85-nucleotide transfer RNA is filed under the name archaeon. RNAcentral describes it as "tRNA-Leu". It matches the Rfam family "tRNA". From Rfam's summary of the family: Transfer RNA (tRNA) molecules are approximately 80 nucleotides in length. Their secondary structure includes four short double-helical elements and three loops (D, anti-codon, and T loops). RNAcentral also lists the same sequence under 2 other names. The record is from RNAcentral.